This 202-nucleotide ribosomal RNA is filed under the name uncultured bacterium. RNAcentral's name for it is "partial 16S ribosomal RNA". It matches the Rfam family "Bacterial small subunit ribosomal RNA", at positions 334 to 528 of the family's 1533-position model. The record is from RNAcentral.
GACUCCUACGGGAGGCAGCAGUGGGGAAUAUUGGAGAAUGGGCGAAAGCCUGAUCCAGCCAUGCCGCGUGUGUGAAGAAGGUCUUCGGAUUGUAAAGCACUUUAAGUUGGGAGGAAGGGCAGUAAGCUAAUACCUUGCUGUUUUGACGUUACCAACAGAAUAAGCACCGGCUAACUUCGUGCCAGCAGCCGCGGUAAUACGA